AUUUGUACUUUCAGUUAACCCAAUUGUUCCUGGCAAUGAAGGAGAUGGUGGAAAGUACGAGUCGUUGGAGGGACGUUCGAAUCCAAACGUUUAUGAAGAACUUCAUACUGCAACGUCUGGUAACAGAGGGACAUACAUCAAUACUACCAUCGCUUGUAGUGAUUA
Molecule: long non-coding RNA, 165 nt
Organism: Pecten maximus
Lineage: Eukaryota; Metazoa; Mollusca; Bivalvia; Pectinida; Pectinidae
Exons: 3
Source: RefSeq, a predicted model, not a curated record